Scylla paramamosain (green mud crab) is the source of this 422-nucleotide long non-coding RNA. RefSeq lists it as uncharacterized. The transcript is spliced from 3 exons. Lineage: Eukaryota; Metazoa; Arthropoda; Malacostraca; Decapoda; Portunidae. The record is from RefSeq and is a predicted model, not a curated record.
AGGAUCUUUGGACACAAACAGCUGGGCGGGGACUCACUCACGAAGGUGCCAUAAAACUGGUCCUUCGCCGCCUCCUGUCAUGGUAUCCUACGGCAGGCUUCUCUUUGAGGGCUCUAAUGACGAUAACUCCAAGCUCCGUCCCUGCAACACACCUACCUAACCUCCCAGACGGUCCCCGCAACGCACCUCACACAGGAAGAUCCGAAGAUAUUCCGGUAUAACAACAGAUUCAGUGUAAGAACAUAAAAACACAAGGGAAGCUGUAGGAAGCCGUCAGACCUACACGCGGCGCCCCUGCAGGAAACACACCUACGUAUUCUCACCUAUGAAAUAAAUAAAUAAACAAAAAAAUCUGCAUCAAAUAGGACGAAAAAGGAACUGAGAGAACAAAUAAAUAGAUAAAUAAAUAAAAUAAAUGAAAA